This 64-nucleotide microRNA precursor is filed under the name Dasypus novemcinctus (nine-banded armadillo). RNAcentral describes it as "microRNA dno-mir-30e precursor". Its record names the gene dno-mir-30e. It matches the Rfam family "mir-30 microRNA precursor family", at positions 9 to 69 of the family's 77-position model. Rfam says of the family: This family consists of the mammalian microRNA (miRNA) precursor mir-30a. Animal miRNAs are transcribed as ~70nt precursors and subsequently processed by the Dicer enzyme to give a ~22nt product. Lineage: Eukaryota; Metazoa; Chordata; Mammalia; Cingulata; Dasypodidae. The record is from miRBase by way of RNAcentral.
UGUAAACAUCCUUGACUGGAAGCUGUAAAGUGUUGAGAGGAGCUUUCAGUCGGAUGUUUACAGC